Molecule: ribosomal RNA, 460 nt
Filed under: uncultured bacterium
Lineage: Bacteria
Description: partial 16S ribosomal RNA
Rfam family: Bacterial small subunit ribosomal RNA
Source: RNAcentral
CCUACGGGGGGCAGCAGUGAGGAAUAUUGGUCAAUGUACGCAAGUCUGAACCAGCCAUGCCGCGUGCAGGAAGACGGCUCGAUGAGUUGUAAACUGCUUUUGUACGAGGGUAAACGCAGAUACGCGUAUCUGUCUGAAAGUAUCGUACGACUAAGGAUCGGCUAACUCCGUGCCAGCAGCCGCGGUAAUACGGAGGAUUCAAGCGUUAUCCGGAUUUAGUGGGUUUAAAGGGUGCGUAGGCGGUCGGAUAAGUUAGAGGUGAAAUCCCGAGGCUCAACUUCGGAAUUGCCUCUGAUACUGUUCGGCUAGAGAGUAGUUGCGGUAGGCGGAAUGUAUGGUGUAGCGGUGAAAUGCUUAGAGAUCAUACAGAACACCGAUUGCGAAGGCAGCUUAUCAAGCUACUUCUGACGUUGAGGCACGAAAGCGUGGGGAGCAAACAGGAUUAGAUACCCCAGUAGUC